ACAGCAGUAGCCGCGGUAAUACGAAGGGUGCAAGCGUUAAUCGGAAUUACUGGGCGUAAAGCGUGCGUAGGUGGUUCGUUAAGUCUGUUGUGAAAGCCCCGGGCUCAACCUGGGAAUGGCAAUGGAUACUGGCGAGCUAGAGUGUGUCAGAAGAUGGUGGAAUUCCCGGUGUAGCGGUGAAAUGCGUAGAGAUCGGGAGGAACAUCAGUGGCGAAGGCGGCCAUCUGGGACAACACUGACGCUGAGGCACGAAAGCGUGGGGAGCAAACAGGAUUAGAUACCCCCGUAGUCCCUGUCUCUUAUAC
RNAcentral lists this ribosomal RNA (305 nucleotides) under uncultured bacterium. RNAcentral's name for it is "partial 16S ribosomal RNA". It matches the Rfam family "Bacterial small subunit ribosomal RNA", at positions 508 to 807 of the family's 1533-position model. The record is from RNAcentral.